AGCGUUAAUCGGAAUUACUGGGCGUAAAGCGUGCGCAGGCGGUUUUGUAAGUCUGUCGUGAAAUCCCCGGGCUCAACCUGGGAAUUGCGAUGGAGACUGCAAGGCUAGAAUCUGGCAGAGGGGGGUAGAAUUCCACGUGUAGCAGUGAAAUGCGUAGAGAUGUGGAGGAACACCGAUGGCGAAGGCAGCCCCCUGGGUCAAGAUUGACGCUCAUGCACGAAAGCGUGGGGAGCAAACAGGAUUAGAUACCCUGGUAGUCCACGCCCUAAACGAUGUCUACUAGUUGUCGGGUUUUAAUUAACUUGGUAACGCAGCUAACGCGUGAAGUAGACCGCCUGGGGAGUACGGUCGCAAGAUUAAAACUCAAAGG
Molecule: ribosomal RNA, 370 nt
Filed under: uncultured bacterium
Lineage: Bacteria
Description: bacterial SSU rRNA
Rfam family: Bacterial small subunit ribosomal RNA
Source: RNAcentral